CCCCCGAAUUCGCGCGUUUUCUUCAGUUCCCUUUUCGCUUCGUAUUUGCCAUCGCCAUAUCAGACUUUUUUCGUACACAUUACUUCGAUCAUCAUGCCACGAGUGAUGCCAGCUGCAUUAAGAUGUCUGUGCAACACACAGAAGGGGCACCGAUGCAAAAGGAAGACAAGGCACCCAACAAGAAUAUGCCACCAACAUCGGAGAAACUUCGCCGACGAUGCCGCGUAAGUUUUAGAACAGUUUUUAUC
This is a long non-coding RNA of Strongylocentrotus purpuratus (purple sea urchin), 248 nucleotides long. RefSeq lists it as uncharacterized. Lineage: Eukaryota; Metazoa; Echinodermata; Echinoidea; Camarodonta; Strongylocentrotidae. The transcript has 3 exons. The record is from RefSeq and is a predicted model, not a curated record.